RNAcentral lists this ribosomal RNA (234 nucleotides) under uncultured Actinomycetales bacterium. RNAcentral describes it as "partial 16S ribosomal RNA". It matches the Rfam family "Bacterial small subunit ribosomal RNA", at positions 97 to 334 of the family's 1533-position model. The record is from RNAcentral. Lineage: Bacteria; Bacillati; Actinomycetota; Actinomycetes; Actinomycetales.
GGCGAACGGGUGAGUAACACGUGGGUAAUCUGCCCUGCACUCUGGGAUAAGCCUGGGAAACUGGGUCUAAUACUGGAUAUGACCUUUCUCCUUAUGGGGUUCGGUGGAAAGUUUUCGGUGUAGGAUGAGCCCGCGGCCUAUCAGCUUGUUGGUGGGGUGAUGGCCUACCAAGGCGACGACGGGUAGCCGGCCUGAGAGGGUGAUCGGCCACAUUGGGACUGAGAUACGGCCCAG